Molecule: ribosomal RNA, 482 nt
Filed under: uncultured beta proteobacterium
Lineage: Bacteria; Pseudomonadati; Pseudomonadota; Betaproteobacteria
Description: bacterial SSU rRNA
Rfam family: Bacterial small subunit ribosomal RNA
Source: RNAcentral
AGAGUUUGAUCCUGGCUCAGAUUGAACGCUGGCGGCAUGCUUACACAUGCAAGUCGAACGGCAGCACGGGAGCAAUCCUGGUGGCGAGUGGCGAACGGGUGAGUAAUACAUCGGAACGUGCCCAGUAGUGGGGGAUAGCCCGGCGAAAGCCGGAUUAAUACCGCAUACGACCUACGGGUGAAAGCGGGGGAUCGCAAGACCUCGCGCUAUUGGAGCGGCCGAUGGCAGAUUAGCUUGUUGGUGGGGUAAAAGCCUACCAAGGCGACGAUCUGUAGCUGGUCUGAGAGGACGACCAGCCACACUGGGACUGAGACACGGCCCAGACUCCUACGGGAGGCAGCAGUGGGGAAUUUUGGACAAUGGGCGCAAGCCUGAUCCAGCCAUGCCGCGUGUGGGAAGAAGGCCUUCGGGUUGUAAACCACUUUUGUCAGGGAAGAAACGGCCUAAUCUAAUAAAUUGGGCUAAUGACGUACCUGAAGAAU